RNAcentral lists this ribosomal RNA (105 nucleotides) under Peribacillus frigoritolerans. Lineage: Bacteria; Bacillati; Bacillota; Bacilli; Caryophanales; Bacillaceae. The record is from RNAcentral.
UUUGGUGGCGAUAGCGAAGAGGUCACACCCGUUCCCAUUCCGAACACGGCAGUUAAGCUCUUCAGCGCCGAUGGUAGUUGGGGGUUUCCCCCUGUGAGAGUCGCC